GAUGAACGCUGGCGGCGUGCCUAAUACAUGCAAGUCGAGCGAACAGAUGAGGAGCUUGCUCCUCUGACGUUAGCGGCGGACGGGUGAGUAACACGUGGAUAACCUACCUAUAAGACUGGGAUAACUUCGGGAAACCGGAGCUAAUACCGGAUAAUAUAUUGAACCGCAUGGUUCAAUAGUGAAAGACGGUUUUGCUGUCACUUAUAGAUGGAUCCGCGCCGCAUUAGCUAGUUGGUAAGGUAACGGCUUACCAAGGCGACGAUGCGUAGCCGACCUGAGAGAGUGUUCUCCGCCACUGUAACUCAGACACGCGCCAGACACCCAUGCGAGGCAGCAGAGUGGAAUCUCCCCCGAUAUGCGCGAGCCCGUCGCGGCGCAGCGCCGCGUGAGAUAUGAAUGUUCUCAUCUCGUAAAACUCUUAUAUUAGAGAAACAAAAAUGUGUGAGACACUAUGCGCCUCGAGGCGACACCUACACAGAGACCCGCCGCUAUCUACG
This 497-nucleotide ribosomal RNA is filed under the name uncultured bacterium. RNAcentral describes it as "partial 16S ribosomal RNA". It matches the Rfam family "Bacterial small subunit ribosomal RNA", at positions 28 to 505 of the family's 1533-position model. The record is from RNAcentral.